This 301-nucleotide ribosomal RNA is filed under the name uncultured bacterium. RNAcentral's name for it is "partial 16S ribosomal RNA". It matches the Rfam family "Bacterial small subunit ribosomal RNA", at positions 509 to 807 of the family's 1533-position model. The record is from RNAcentral.
CAGUAGCCGCGGUAACACGAAGGGUGCAAGCGUUAAUCGGAAUUACUGGGCGUAAAGCGUGCGCAGGCGGUUGUGUAAGACAGGUGUGAAAUCCCCGGGCUUAACCUGGGAACUGCGCUUGUGACUGCACAGCUAGAGUAUGGCAGAGGGGGGUGGAAUUCCACGUGUAGCAGUGAAAUCCGUAGAUAUUGGGAAGAACACCGGUGGCGAAGGCGACAACCUGGCUCAUUACUGACGCUGAGGCGCGAAAGCGUGGGGAGCAAACAGGAUUAGAUACCCGAGUAGUCCCUGUCUCUUAUAC